Molecule: ribosomal RNA, 301 nt
Filed under: uncultured bacterium
Lineage: Bacteria
Description: partial 16S ribosomal RNA
Rfam family: Bacterial small subunit ribosomal RNA
Source: RNAcentral
CAGUCGCCGCGGUAAUACGAAGGGGGCUAGCGUUGCUCGGAAUCACUGGGCGUAAAGGGUGCGUAGGCGGGUCUUUAAGUCAGGGGUGAAAUCCUGGGGCUCAACUCCAGAACUGCCUUUGAUACUGAAGAUCUUGAGUUCGGGAGAGGUGAGUGGAACUGCGAGUGUAGAGGUGAAAUUCGUAGAUAUUCGCAAGAACACCAGUGGCGAAGGCGGCUCACUGGCCCGAUACUGACGCUGAGGCACGAAAGCGUGGGGAGCAAACAGGAUUAGAUACCCCCGUAGUCCCUGUCUCUUAUAC